This 444-nucleotide ribosomal RNA is filed under the name uncultured bacterium. Its description in RNAcentral is "bacterial SSU rRNA". It matches the Rfam family "Bacterial small subunit ribosomal RNA", at positions 355 to 796 of the family's 1533-position model. The record is from RNAcentral.
UAAGGAAUAUUCCACAAUGGGCGCAAGCCUGAUGGAGCGACGCCGCGUGCGGGAAGACGCCUUUCGGGGUGUAAACCGCUUUUCUCGGGGAUGAAACGUAUGGGUAAAACCGUACUAAGACAGUACCUGAGGAAUAAGCAUCGGCUAACUACGUGCCAGCAGCCGCGGUAAUACGUAGGAUGCAAGCGUUGUCCGGAUUUACUGGGCGUAAAGCGCGCGCAGGCGGCACACCAAGUACCCUAUGAAAUCUCCUUGCUCAACGGGGAGGGUGUUGGGUAGACUGGUGAGCUAGAGGACGGUAGAGGGGGGUAGAAUUGCUGGUGUAGCGGUGAAAUGCGUAGAGAUCAGCAGGAAUACCCGUGGCGAAGGCGGCCCCCUGGGCCGUUUCUGACGCUGAGGCGCGAAGGCUAGGGGAGCGAACGGGAUUAGAUACCCCUGUAGUCC